Molecule: non-coding RNA, 1632 nt
Organism: Drosophila suzukii
Lineage: Eukaryota; Metazoa; Arthropoda; Insecta; Diptera; Drosophilidae
Source: RefSeq, a predicted model, not a curated record
ACAAUAAAUCAAAGCCGAGACCAAAUUGUCUUGCCAAAGCGCCACCACAUCACUCAACUUAUAGUAAAGGAAUUUCACGAAACAAACCAUCACAUGCUUCACGAGGGAACAAUUAAUCUAAUCCGCAGCGUAUAUUUUAUUCCCCAGUUACGUGUUAUUUACAAAUCCGUACGGAAAGCGUGCCAAAGAUGCAAAAAUAAUUCGGCGAUCCCGGAACCACCUCAGAUGGCACCACUACCGCCAGCUAGAGUCGCGAGCUUCGAGAGGCCCUUUACAUACACUGGAGUGGAUUUCUUCGGUCCAAUUCUCGUUAACGUAGGCCGACACAAAGAAAAACGGUGGGGUGUUAUAUUUACAUGCCUCACUCUGCGCGCAGUUCAUAUAGAGAUAGCCCACAGCCUUGACACUAGCUCUUGCAUAAUGUGCCUGGCAAACUUUAUGUCGCGACGCGGGACGCCCAAGGAAAUAUUUUCUGAUAAUGGAACAAAUUUCAAAGCAACCGAAAAGAUUGUCAAAGAGGAGCUAAAAAAUGUUGAGUUCGACAAGCUCGUUAUAAAAUAUGACAAAAUUAAAUGGCGCUUCAAUCCACCUGCCGCACCACACAUGGGCGGGGCAUGGGAACGUUUAAUUCGAUCGAUUAAAAUGGUACUCAAAUCCAUUUCCCCAAACGCCAAUUACAACGACGAAAGUCUCAAAAAUGCUCUUAUAAGUGCAGAGUACGUAAUAAACUCCCGUCCACUGACCUUCGUUUCCUUGGAGGCAGAAGACGAUGAUGCACUUACUCCCAACCAUUUAUUGCUAGGAUCCGCAGACGGCUUCAAGCCUCCACUGACAAGCGAGUCAAGCCCAAGACAACGUUGGCGCCAGGCAAACGAACUAGCCGAUCUUUUCUGGAGGAGGUGGGUGAAGGAAUACAUGCCAAUAAUCACCAAGCGAUCCAAAUGGUUUCCCAAACGACAUCCUCUGGCAGUUGGCGACGUCGUAAUCGUAGUGGACGAAAAUCUACCCAGGAACCUUUGGCCCAAAGGACGAAUUACAGAGGUCGUCACAGCCAAAGAUGGUCAAGUUCGAUCUGCCACUAUUAAGACUCAACAUGGUAUUAUGGUACGGCCAGCAACCAAAAUAGCUGUACUGGACGUUGCUUCUAAGUAAAUGUAAACACCCCAUAGCUGUUUACGUGGGGGGGAAUGUUACCGCCCCAGUACAUUUUGAAACGUCGAUUAAUUUACAUAAAUUCAUCGGUUGGAUCCGACACCAAUCAACAUCUCGCCGACAAUCGAAAGACCAUACAGUUACAGUGCGAUCCUCAACAGGAGAGGAAGAUUUUUUAAAGCUCUUGAUUUAAUUUUGAUUUUGUAAUUUGAUUUAACUAAUAAAAGUCAUCGGAUUAUAAAGCAGUGCUGUUAGAAGCUUUCAUUAAGGGGUCGGCUGUAACAUACAUAUUUUUUUGUGCAAAAUAAAUGCUUAUAAAUAGCCUCCUGUGAGGCGAACAAAUUUGUAAUUACGCGCCAACGAAAAUGAAUGAAAACCAAAGGCAGGAAAAAAAAACUGAGUGUCGUGUAAAAAAUUCAUGUAGCUGACAAUUUUCAAGCAGUCUUCUAACCUGGAAACCAAUCAAAAUGAAGUUUCCCC